Molecule: ribosomal RNA, 253 nt
Filed under: uncultured bacterium
Lineage: Bacteria
Description: partial 16S ribosomal RNA
Rfam family: Bacterial small subunit ribosomal RNA
Source: RNAcentral
UACAUGGGGUGCAAACGUUGCUCGGAAUUAUUGGGCGUAAAGCGCGCGUAGGCGGUUACUCAAGUCGGAUGUGAAAGCCCUCGGCUUAACUGAGGAAGUGCACCCGAAACUGAGUAGCUAGAGUACUAAAGAGGGUCGCGGAAUUCCCGGUGUAGAGGUGAAAUUCGUAGAUAUCGGGAGGAACACCGGUGGCGAAGGCGGCGACCUGGGUAGAUACUGACGCUGAGGCGCGAAAGCGUGGGUAUCAAACAGG